GACGAACCGUGCGAACGUUAUUCGGAAUCACUGGGCGUAAAGGGCGCGUAGGCGGUUUGCUAAGUUGGAUGUGAAAACUCUGGGCUUAACCCAGAGCCUGCAUCCAAAACUGGCUAACUUGAGUACUGGAGGGGAAAGCGGAAUUCCUGGUGUAGCGGUGAAAUGCGUAGAUAUCAGGAGGAACACCGGUGGCGAAGGCGGCUUUCUGGACAGUAACUGACGCUGAGGCGCGAAAGCUAGGGGAGCAAACAGG
RNAcentral lists this ribosomal RNA (253 nucleotides) under uncultured bacterium. RNAcentral describes it as "partial 16S ribosomal RNA". It matches the Rfam family "Bacterial small subunit ribosomal RNA", at positions 524 to 776 of the family's 1533-position model. The record is from RNAcentral.